Molecule: ribosomal RNA, 119 nt
Filed under: Pteropus alecto (black flying fox)
Lineage: Eukaryota; Metazoa; Chordata; Mammalia; Chiroptera; Pteropodidae
Source: RNAcentral
GUCUAUGGCCAUGCCACCCUGAACAUGCCCGAUCUCAUCUGAUCUCAGAAACUAAGUAGGGUCGGGCCUGGUUAGUACUUGGAUGGAAGACUACCUAAGAAUACCAGGUGCUAUCGACA